ACUAAGCAAGGAAUUCCCUUAGUUAACCGGCGAGCGAACCGGGAAGAGCUCAAAUCUGAAAUCUGGCGUCCUCCGGGCGUCCGAGUUGUAAUCUAUAGAAGCGUUUUCCGCGCCGGACCGUGUAUAAGUCUCCUGGAACGGAGUAUCAAAGAGGGUGACAAUCCCGUGCUUUACACGACGACCGGUGCUAUGUGAUACGUUCUCUACGAGUCGAGUUGUUUGGGAAUGCAGCUCAAAACGGAUAGUAAACUCCAUCUAAAGCUAAAUAUUGGUGGGAGACCGAUAGCGAACAAGUACCGUGAGGGAAAGAUGAAAAGCACUUUGGAAAGAGAGUUAAACAGUAUGUGAAAUUGUUGAAAGGGAAACGAUUGAAGUCAGUCGUGUCCAUUGGGUUCAGCCGGUCCUGCCGGUCUACUCCCUUUGGACGGGUCAACAUCAGUUCUGACCGGCGGAUAAUGGCACGAGGAACGUGGCACCCUCCGGGGUGUGUUAUAGCCUCGCGUCGCAUACGCUGGUCGGGACUGAGGAACGCAGCUCGCCUUCAUGGCCGGAGUACGCCCACGUACGAGCUUAGGAUGUUGACAUAAUGGCUUUAAACGACUUCUCGUCUUGAG
This 614-nucleotide ribosomal RNA is filed under the name Kwoniella mangrovensis. RNAcentral describes it as "LSU rRNA". It matches the Rfam family "Eukaryotic large subunit ribosomal RNA", at positions 56 to 658 of the family's 3401-position model. Lineage: Eukaryota; Fungi; Basidiomycota; Tremellomycetes; Tremellales; Cryptococcaceae. The record is from RNAcentral.